Oreochromis aureus is the source of this 444-nucleotide long non-coding RNA. Lineage: Eukaryota; Metazoa; Chordata; Actinopteri; Cichliformes; Cichlidae. The record is from Ensembl.
AUUUGGUUGUAUGGGGUCUACAUUGGCCUUCUGUGUUGUAAGUUAUAAUGAUUGCACAGCCAUUAAGGAUCAAAUCAGCUCCUAAAAAUUUUCUGUUUUUUCUCCCUCUGCUUGCUUCUUACUGUCUUUGAGGCUCGGGACCAGCACUCCUGUUGUUGGACAGAAAGACAUCAACUCAGCGACUUGAGAUAUGACUGCACUAUGCUGUUGCUGUUGACUCCAGUUAAUUCUACAAGACAUGCUGUGACACCAGGAGAGACGAGUCCUCCGUCACAGAUGGUGUGGUCAGUGAAGAUGGUCGCCUGCAGGUUCAAGCUCAUUGCAUCUCCAACCCACAUCCACUGCCACUGUACUUAAGGGAAGUUAAAGACUUUCUUCUGCACUUACAUUUGGAUCACCUCGAUCCAUGAUAGUCAUUCAGGCAGUAAUGCCUGGACUGGAAAC